This 492-nucleotide ribosomal RNA is filed under the name uncultured bacterium. RNAcentral's name for it is "partial 16S ribosomal RNA". It matches the Rfam family "Bacterial small subunit ribosomal RNA", at positions 28 to 507 of the family's 1533-position model. The record is from RNAcentral.
GGUGAACGCUGGCGGUAGGCCUAACACAUGCAAGUCGAACGGCAGCACAGUAAGAGCUUGCUCUUACGGGUGGCGAGUGGCGGACGGGUGAGGAAUACAUCGGAAUCUACUUUUUCGUGGGGGAUAACGUAGGGAAACUUACGCUAAUACCGCAUACGACCUACGGGUGAAAGCAGGGGAUCUUCGGACCUUGCGCGAUUGAGUGAGCCGAUGUCGGAUUAGCUAGUUGGCGGGGUAAAGGCCCACCAAGGCGACGAUCCGUAGCUGGUCUGAGAGGAUGAUCAGCCACACUGGAACUGAGACACGGUCCAGACUCCUACGGGAGGCAGCAGUGGGGAAUAUUGGACAAUGGGCGCAAGCCUGAUCCAGCCAUACCGCGUGGGUGAAGAAGGCCUUCGGGUUGUAAAGCCCUUUUGUUGGGAAAGAAAAGCAGCAGGUUAAUACCCCGCUGUUCUGACGGUACCCAAAGAAUAAGCACCGGCUAACUUCGUG